This is a long non-coding RNA of Macadamia integrifolia, 759 nucleotides long. RefSeq lists it as uncharacterized. The transcript has 2 exons. Lineage: Eukaryota; Viridiplantae; Streptophyta; Magnoliopsida; Proteales; Proteaceae. The record is from RefSeq and is a predicted model, not a curated record.
AUUAGUCUGGUCAUUAAAUGCCUACGCCUUUUUGGACGGUGAGAAGUGUCAUUUUAAGGCCUUUUACUGAUCAUCUUCUUCAUUUCUUCUCCAUUUCAACUUUGAGAGCUUGCUACUUCAUCGCCCUCUUUUUUUUGUUAUUCGUGAUUUCUUUGGGCUACCGCUGUCGCUCGCCGUAAUUUCUCCUUUCGUUGGGGAUUUACUCAUCUUCUAAAGCAUAUGACUAGGUGGAGAAGCUGUCGGACUAGGUUAAGGUGUUUCGUGCUUCCAUCGUGAUGAAGGAUAAGGAGGUCACCUCCUUGAUCGAGCAGUUGGUAUUUUAAUGGUUGAGAAUAAUUGUCUAUUUUGAAGCUCAUGUUGCAAUGGUGGUAGAGGCUCAUAGACUCGAGCAAUCCCAUUGGCUGGAUAGGAAGAAAGAACUACUUGGUCAUCUCAACAGUGUUCGGUCGAAUCUAGAUUUUGCUCGAGCUCAUCCUCAAAAGGGAGAUGCAGCCUUACAUUGAAACUGUGUGAUGAGGGAAGAGGCCAUCCUUACGGGAUCAGCGGCCCGUUAGGGAGAGCGAAGAAGUGGAAACAGUCAAGACUUGAAUGCUUGCAUAUAUGAGUUUUGUUUUCUACUUCUGUAAAUUCUCUUUGAAUGAAUGGUCUUCUUUCACAUCCGGUGUACUUGCUUGUGACCAUGCUUUGUGUUUUACCGAGCGACAAAGAUCGGUUUUUUCUUUGCGCUAACCCAAGGUUGGUUUUUUUUGCCGAUCAGUA